This is a long non-coding RNA of Amaranthus tricolor (Joseph's coat), 1027 nucleotides long. RefSeq lists it as uncharacterized. The record is from RefSeq and is a predicted model, not a curated record. The transcript is spliced from 6 exons. NCBI's taxonomy places the organism in Eukaryota, Viridiplantae, Streptophyta, Magnoliopsida, Caryophyllales, Amaranthaceae.
GUUACACCGUCAAUUCGGAUUCUCUUUCCUCUGUCCAGUUUACUUCCCGCAAUUGCAUAAUAUUUCCAUCAGAGUUUCCCGCAAUUCCUGCAUAAUCAAAGAUUUAUUUCCCAAACAGCAAUUCAAAAUUGGAUUCCCAGAAGGUAAUGGGGAACAGGAUGAGCUCCAGAAUCUGUCCAUUUAUUAUCUGAAGUCAAGCUUGCGGAAUGUUGAGAUUUCUUAUGAGAGACGAACUGCCUUUUUUCUGAAACAAGGAUGAACAAGGACAAAAAAGAAAACUAGCCGGGAAACUAGUCACAAGAUAAAACAUACUUAUAAGACUCAAGAGGUAGUUGGGAACAGUAUGAGCUCCACGAUCAAAAUACCUGUCCGUAUCUUUUCUGAAGUCAAGCUUGUGGAAUACUGCAAUUUAUUUCGACAGACGAACUGCUUCUAGCCUUCUAUUUCUGUGACAAAAAAGUCAACGGGGCAUUUUGAGAAUCAAACUUGGACCUUUUGCAACCAAAGCGAGAAUCAUACAAGUACAUGGCAAGGUUCCAACUUCCAAGCACCAGGAUCAGGCGAACCUAUCCGUAUCUUUUAUAUGACGCAUAACCAGAGCCGGCUCAAGUGCAUAGCAUUACGAGGCAUAGUGCAAAAAUGCAUCAUUGUCGUGGUGAUGGAUCUUGUGGUCAAUGCAAAUGAUUUCCCAUCAAUGCGGCUUAUAUAUUUCGGUCACGGUAAACUCAAAAAUCUCUUCGAUACACCAAUGCAGUCAAGUUUUUGCACUAUGUUAUGAGCUAUCAGGAGAACCUAGUCAUAUCUUUUAUGUGAAACCUGAGGAAAACAGCAGUCUGAUUUGAUCGACAUGCAGCUUCUAUUAUGUUAAAUACUAAACAAAUUCAUCGCUUUUGGCAUGUGAAUCUGAUAUUUUUUUUAUCUAAUACUUUAACACAAAAACCAAAUGGUGAACUCAUUAGUGAUACUGGUACAUUUGGAAGAACUAGAGUUGAAAAGCUAUAAAAACUUGUACAAGUUUGAUGGGGCA